UCCACACGACUCUCGGCAACGGAUAUCUCGGCUCUCGCAUCGAUGAAGAACGUANCGAAAUGCGAUACCUGGUGUGAAUUGCAGAAUCCCGCGAACCAUCGAGUCUUUGAACGCAAGUUGCGCCCGAGGCCAUUCGGCCGAGGGCACGCCUGCCUGGGCGUCACG
RNAcentral lists this ribosomal RNA (165 nucleotides) under Lombardochloa rufa var. rufa. RNAcentral describes it as "Chascolytrum rufum var. rufum 5.8S ribosomal RNA". It matches the Rfam family "5.8S ribosomal RNA". From Rfam's summary of the family: 5.8S ribosomal RNA (5.8S rRNA) is a component of the large subunit of the eukaryotic ribosome. It is transcribed by RNA polymerase I as part of the 45S precursor that also contains 18S and 28S rRNA. Functionally, it is thought that 5.8S rRNA may be involved in ribosome translocation. Lineage: Eukaryota; Viridiplantae; Streptophyta; Magnoliopsida; Poales; Poaceae. The record is from RNAcentral.